Etheostoma spectabile (orangethroat darter) is the source of this 1159-nucleotide long non-coding RNA. RefSeq lists it as uncharacterized. The record is from RefSeq and is a predicted model, not a curated record. NCBI's taxonomy places the organism in Eukaryota, Metazoa, Chordata, Actinopteri, Perciformes, Percidae. The transcript has 3 exons.
GACCGUUUUUAGCAUAAUGAGAUGAUAAAGUUCUAAUACUCAAGCAAAUGUGAUGUUUGAAGACAUGGUAUCAUUUCAGUUUGUUAGCUUGUGACCAUGCCUUAAUGCAACGUCUCUGUAUGGCAAAUGAUUUUUGUCACCUUAAGAGUGUUUAUGGAACAUUCUUUAGGUUUUUAUACACUUAUAUUUCCUCCGUAACAUAGGGUACAUUAGUAAGUGUGAGUAACAAGAAGAAAAGACAGGUUUGAGAGAAAUUGUAGCUGCUUUUCUGGAUGUCUUCCCUUUGCACGGCAAAGGGAGUGUGCAUGGCUGUUUCGAUGUGAUGCUCUGUGACAGGCUCAGCCCUCGUUGGGCGCCACGUGCCCUGCUGCUCCCGCCGUUAGCUCCUCCCCAUUGCACAUCACUGGGCAAAAAUCUCACUUUGCCGUCUCAGUGAUGCUAGGCUCAGAACACAACCCUAAACGAAGGGCGCCCAUUGGCUAUCCAGUGAUGCGUCACCAAAAUUGGCCUGGUUUUGAGCCACACAGACAAAAGGAUAGAGAGAACGUCAUUGCUGGGUGAGGAGGAUCAUUCUUUGGGAUGGAAGUGGGGGCUCCAUUCCCUUUGUUUUAUUUAGUUUUAACAUUUAUCCAAUUCUUACAAAGAAGCGUACAAUCACAAGUGGCCUUAACAGUCAAAACCAUGUGAAGUUCUGUAAAUGAGAUGGUUUGAUGUUUGUGAAGACCUUUAGGAAGAUUUGUAAACACGAUUAUUCAGUGGAAUUUGGAGCAGCAGGUGUGUACAAGAAACAGAAACACGACUGACAUUUAUUCUCAGAUUCCUGUCGCCUUAAUUUUCACAAUCUCUUAGAACAAAUCUAAGAUGCUCAGCUUGUGUGUACUGUACAUGAUACAUCUCUAUGUAUCACUGUGUUUCUCCUGUCUGUAUAAUCUUGUAAGUUAAAUAUGACUUAUUUUUGACAUGCUGUAUAAUAAAUAUUGUAAACUCUAUUAGAAGCAUUUCGGCACUUUAGCUUCAUCUUCUGUCAGAAUACUGUAUGUACGCCUUUUCAUUGGGGAUGAAGUGCUUUAGCCUCCCAAGGCAUUCCCUGCCAUGUGUGAACAUAUUUCAUUUAUGUUUUGCUGCUGCUUUUUUGUUCAAUAAAGAUGUUAAGAUAUAA